ACUACGGGUGGCAGCAGUGAGGAAUAUUGGUCAAUGGGCUUACGCCUGAACCAGCCAAGUCGCGUGAGGGAAGCCUGCCCUAUGGGUUGUAAACCUCUUUUGUCAGGGAGCAACGCCGGCUACGUGUAGCCGGACUGAGAGUACCUGAAGAAAAAGCAUCGGCUAACUCCGUGCCAGCAGACGCGGUAAUAGGGAGGAGGCGAGCGUUAUCCGGAUUGAGUGGGGUUAAAGGGGGCGUAGGCUGAAUGCAAAGUCAGCGGUAAAAUUGCGUGGCUCAAACUCGCUCAGCCGUUGAAAAUGGCGUUCUUGAGUGGGCGAGAAGUAUGCGGAAUGCGUGGUGUAGCGGUGAAAUGCAUAG
RNAcentral lists this ribosomal RNA (358 nucleotides) under uncultured bacterium. RNAcentral's name for it is "partial 16S ribosomal RNA". It matches the Rfam family "Bacterial small subunit ribosomal RNA", at positions 338 to 693 of the family's 1533-position model. The record is from RNAcentral.